Long non-coding RNA from Ficedula albicollis (Collared flycatcher), 443 nucleotides. NCBI's taxonomy places the organism in Eukaryota, Metazoa, Chordata, Aves, Passeriformes, Muscicapidae. The record is from Ensembl.
UUCUCUUUUUGUGUUUCAGUGUGACAGCGACAGUGAUCAAGAAGAAAAGGAUGUUCCUUAUGCAGAGGAAGAUGAUAAACGGAAUUUCAGCUUCUCUGUUUAUGGCACCCAGAACUAAAAGUGCAAUUUCCUGUCACUGCAGCAUUUAUGGAGCUGAACCUCUGCCUGUCUCACUGAAUUUUUCUCUUGCAGCACUCCUGUGUAAAAAGGAUGCUUGGAAACCAAACUGUAUUUGGGAUAUUUUUUCCUCACCCCUGGGAGGAAUGAGGGAAGGAAGAGUUUGGUAGCACUUCAAGGGGAAAACAUCCCUCUGGUUGGUGCCAGGGCUGUGGCAGAGAGACAGCUGGGAGCCAUCUACAUUUACACCACCACAGCCACGCAGUGCUACAGUGAUAUUUCUGCCCUUCUUACGGUUUAAAACUCUGCCAGGGUUUCCGUUUGCU